GACGAACGCUGGCGGCGUGCUUAACACAUGCAAGUCGAACGGAAAGGCCCUGCUUUUGUGGGGUGCUCGAGUGGCGAACGGGUGAGUAACACGUGAGUAACCUGCCCUUGACUUUGGGAUAACUUCAGGAAACUGGGGCUAAUACCGGAUAGGAGCUCCUGCUGCAUGGUGGGGGUUGGAAAGUUUCGGCGGUUGGGGAUGGACUCGCGGCUUAUCAGCUUGUUGGUGGGGUAGUGGCUUACCAAGGCUUUGACGGGUAGCCGGCCUGAGAGGGUGACCGGCCACAUUGGGACUGAGAUACGGCCCAGACUCCUACGGGAGGCAGCAGUGGGGAAUAGUGCACAAUGGGCGGAAGCCGGAUGCAGCAACGCCGCGUGCGGGAUGACGGCCUUCGGGUUGUAAACCGCUUUCGCCUGUGACGAAGCGUGAGUGACGGUAAUGGGUAAAGAAGCAACGGCUAACUACGUG
Molecule: ribosomal RNA, 468 nt
Filed under: uncultured bacterium
Lineage: Bacteria
Description: partial 16S ribosomal RNA
Rfam family: Bacterial small subunit ribosomal RNA
Source: RNAcentral